AUGAAGUUUUAUUCUUGCUUAAAUAUUAUUUAUUUUUAAUUUACUUUAUAUGUAAGUUUUUGCGUAAUUUAUUAUAGUAUUUCUAGAUGAAUACUUUAGAUUUAAUUAUUCGCAGUAAUGGAUAUUAUAAAUUGAUGAAAAUUAGAUUUGGUAAUUUUGAUUUAUUAUUGGAUAAAUUUGUGCCAGCAUCCGCGGUUAUACAAUGAAUAUAAAUAAAUAUUUUUGGUUAAAAUAGUUAUAAUUUACUAGUUUGAAAUUGUAUUAUUAUUUGUUAGGUGAAAUUUUAAUGAUUAAUAUAAUUUUAUUUUUUGAGGCUAUGAAAUCUAUUUAUUUAAACUAGGAUUAGAUACCCUAUUAUUUUAGAUGUAAAUUAUAUUAACCUAGGUAGUAUUAGUUAUGGUCUUGAAACUUAAAGAAUUUGGCGGUAUUUUAGUCUAUUUAGAGGAAUCUGUUCCAUAAUCGAUAGUUCACGUUGUACCUUACCAAAUUUAUGUAUGUAUACCGCCGUUAUAUAUGAAAAUCUUUUUAGAGAUUAAAAAUUUUCUAGAUUUGUUUUUAAAAUUUAUUUCAGGUCAAGGUGCAGCAAUAUUUUGGUGGAAAUGGAUUACUAUUAUAUUAAAUAUUGGAUUAUUCUUUGUAAUUUUGAAUAUGAAAUUGGAUUUAAUUGUAAUUUUUUGAAGAUUGUAAUUAUGAUUAUAGCUCUAUAAUAUGUACACAUCGCCCGUCGCUCUCAUUAUUAUUUUAAUUGAGAUAAGUCGUAACAUAGUGGUUGUACCGGAAGGUGUAGCUGGAAUGAU
This 797-nucleotide non-coding RNA is filed under the name Cosmozosteria sp. B117. Lineage: Eukaryota; Metazoa; Arthropoda; Insecta; Blattodea; Blattidae. The record is from RNAcentral.